RNAcentral lists this long non-coding RNA (1044 nucleotides) under Homo sapiens (human). RNAcentral describes it as "PREDICTED lncRNA (TCONS_00209288)". Lineage: Eukaryota; Metazoa; Chordata; Mammalia; Primates; Hominidae. The record is from RNAcentral.
CAUGGAUGGACUGGACUUGCUGAGUCUUCUGACCUUCAUCUUUCUCCCAUGCUGGAUGCUUCCUACCCUUGAACAUCAGACUCCAAGUUCUUCAGCUUUUGCUCUCUUGGACUUAUGCCAGUGGUUUGUCAGGAGCUCUUGGGCUUUUGGCCACAGACUGAAGGCUGCACUGUUGACUUCUCAACUUUUGUGGUUUUGGGACUCGGACUGGCUUCCCUGCUCCCCAGUUUGCAGAAGGCCUAUUGUGGGACUUCACCUUGCGACCAUGUGAAGACAGUGAGAAGACGUCUUAACCAUCUAUGAACCAGAAAGCGGGAUCUCAGCAGACACCGAAUCAGCCGGCACCUUGAUCUUGGACUUCCCAUGUUCCAGAACUGGUCUGCACAUAACAAAGAUCUUAAUGGAAGUUGAUUAUACCGGAUGUCUAAAGGAGUGAAGUCCAACCUUCAUUAUGAAAUGGGAUAAUGAUGCUGGUGUUUGGCAGCCUUUCCAGAUACAUCUUAUGCUUACAGCUGGAGAUGAGGGAAAAGAAAAUGGUGUGUCAAAUACAAAACUCUUGUAUAUCUUAUUCUGUUGUUUAUUCAUUAUGUUAUCAGACAACUGUGGAAACACGACUUAGUCUAAUACUUUCCAACCAGAGUUUGUACAGCAUGAUUGUUAUCCUGCUCCUUCACGGAAUGCAUUAAUGAUCUCCUUUCACACUCACUCUUAAUGAAACAACUGUUUUAUCCUCUGGUAUCAGGGUUUCAAAUUUGUCAGUUUUUGAAAUGUUGUGCUCUUGUUGAUGUACAUUUUUCCUGUUGUUAUAUAAUAGAAAUAAGGAUGAGUAAUAUGCAUUAAAACUGUUUCCAUGGAGCACAUAAUUAAGGUUUAGAUGGACUUCCUGAAGAUAUCUAAAAAUUUAACUUCUGUAAUAUUUAUGUUUAAUUAGUCAGUUUUAGUCAUGGAGUGUUUCAAUGGCUGGACAGUAUUUAAAGCCUGAAGGGAAAAACAACUGUAGCUUCUAAACAGAAUAAAUUAAAAUUCAAUUUAAAAUAACUGUUA